This 130-nucleotide small nucleolar RNA is filed under the name Echinops telfairi (small Madagascar hedgehog). RNAcentral describes it as "Small Cajal body specific RNA 24 (ENSETEG00000026213.1)". It matches the Rfam family "Small Cajal body specific RNA 24". Rfam says of the family: scaRNAs are a specific class of small nuclear RNAs which localise to the Cajal bodies and guide the modification of RNA polymerase II transcribed spliceosomal RNAs U1, U2, U4, U5 and U12. The record is from RNAcentral. Lineage: Eukaryota; Metazoa; Chordata; Mammalia; Afrosoricida; Tenrecidae.
UGGACAUUUAUUUUUAUUCCGUUUCUUCUCAAGGUGAAGACAACUCUUUAUAAAUGUCCUAGAGAAAUAUAGUAGCUUUCUGUUCACCCUUUGCAAGUAAAUUGGGUGGAUCGUUCCACUACUGACACAC